UAUAUUGGUUUCUUUAAUCUGAUACUUGUCUAAAGAGAUCAUUUUAAGUUUUGCUAAUCACGAGGUGACAUCAAAAUUCCUUCGAGUCUCAUUCAGUAUGCUUUCUUACUAUAUUACCUAAUUAAGUGACAAGAAGGCAAAAACAAAGCUGAAGCAUCAGAAUGUGCCGUCGAUCAAUAUUUUAGUUAAUAAACCAUGAAAUGGAAAAGGUUAGUUUGCUCUCUCCAAGAAACAUCAUAUCUUAAACCAUGUUCACACACGCCAUCUAAACCUAUGUGAUGCCUCUUUGUUCAGUUUUGAUGAUGUGUGUAUAGAGAAAAGGCAGCAUAAAGUCGGUCCAAAGAAAAUCGUGAAUAUUAACCUGGGAAGGGUGUGAAAAUUGAGCUGCAAGGAAAACCGGAGCAUCCUUUUCUUUUUUUCUCUCCUGAAAAUUUAUAUACAAUGAGAAAGUUCAUAUUAGCAUGUGGCAUACAUCAUGAAGGAAGCUGCAUUGAAUGAGUCAAGGGAAAUCCGAAACUGCAUGUCGAACCUUCAUCACCGCAUUCGCGCCAAAGUGAGCUCAAAUGAACCAUGGACUAUCAGUCAGUAUAAUAUCCAUAGAUAUAUCGUCAACCCUGUAACCAAAACUAUUAUAACCUUUCCAAGAUGCACUAUAACUUUAUGAAUCAUAAUUUAGCAACUGAAGAGUGGACAAGAAAAAAAAAAAAGCUCUUUGGUUUAGUUAGUUUGAAGCCAAAUUAUAAUCAUACAACUGAAGCCGAAAAGAUUCUAUGGGGUCCAGCUCCUAAUGAUUGAUGAUGUACAAUACGUGUAAUUCCAAUUCAAACGUCUUUCACUUGAUUGGCUUGACCUCUUAUUACUAUCUUGCAUAUUUUUAGAUGUUAUUAGUAGUCAGUCGAGCAUCGAUUUUUUCUAAAAAAAAUAAUUCAAAAUUCAUCUUUCUUUGUGCUAAAUGUUAUUUCUUACUAAACCAUCACUCCAAUUGUAGGUUGCCUGUUGCGCCUAAAGGUUGGAUAUAUGGUGAUAUGGUAAUGCCGAUUUGGGAAAGCAGGUGUACAGUGUGUGUAAAUUAAGAAAACAAUUUAUAA
This 1088-nucleotide long non-coding RNA is filed under the name Triticum aestivum (bread wheat). Its description in RNAcentral is "long non-coding RNA (TAES_LNC012921)". Lineage: Eukaryota; Viridiplantae; Streptophyta; Magnoliopsida; Poales; Poaceae. The record is from RNAcentral.